Pogona vitticeps (central bearded dragon) is the source of this 656-nucleotide non-coding RNA. NCBI's taxonomy places the organism in Eukaryota, Metazoa, Chordata, Lepidosauria, Squamata, Agamidae. The record is from RefSeq and is a predicted model, not a curated record.
UCUGAGCUGUUUCUACCCCCGUUCAGCACGACAGCACCUUAAUUGCUCUUCAAGGAGCCCUGGGCGUUUAUAAUGGUCACCCACCACCAUAUGCUGCCUGUCAUGGAUUUGAAUUCUACCAAGAAACCAAUAACUCCUUCACUGUUGCCAUGUUUUACCGGAAUACUAGUGAUCAGCAACCCCACACACUAACCUUGCCUGGAUGUCCUACACAUUGCCCAUUACCACUCUUCACCAAACUCACUCGUGCAGUUGUUCCACAGGACUGGGAUGCCGAAUGCCAAAACCCUCAGAACCGUACAGGGCACACCGUUACAGCUCUGGCUGUGGCUGUAGGUCUCCUGAGUGUGGCUUUAAUUGGCUUGGGUAUCUUGCACUGGAGAAAGCGACGGGAAGAUGGACCAAUGGCAAUGAACAACUGCCUUCACUAGAACACAAGACAGGCAACAGUUGCUGAGCAUUCAGAGAAAGUGCAGCCCAAUAGGCUGGAGUCUGGACCAACUUUCCCCCAUAGCCCCUUUAUCAAGCCCGGAGUCAAAUGGUUUCAGUUCAGGAGCAUUGCUGAUAUUAAUGCUCGAGGCAAGUUUAGUGUACCAAAUUAGUAGGAAAAAUGGUCUAAAAAAUCAAAAUGGAAAGUAUUGAAAUGCCAUCAUUUG